This is an RNA transcript of Anarrhichthys ocellatus (wolf-eel), 1255 nucleotides long. It is a transcript of the gene named zona pellucida sperm-binding protein 3-like, with no coding region annotated. The transcript is spliced from 10 exons. The record is from RefSeq and is a predicted model, not a curated record. Lineage: Eukaryota; Metazoa; Chordata; Actinopteri; Perciformes; Anarhichadidae.
CUGGGCUUUGUAUCAUUCAGUCAUGGGGACUCAUCUCUACCUAGGUGUGAUCAUCUUGGCAGUUUUUGCGACAACUGUUGCCAAUGCAGAGAUCAAAGUUGUCUGUGCGAAAGACUCGAUAAAAAUCACAUGGAAGAUCAACGCGGAGCUGGUGCCGUAUGCAGCGCGUCUCUUCCUUGGAACCUGCAUGGCCUCUGGUUUCAAUGUCCUGCCCAGCGGAGAGGGCGAAGCAGAGUUCAACUACGGUUUUGCUGCCUGCAAAUUCAAAAGACAGAUGAAAGGAAAAAAUCUCUUCUAUAGAAAUGAGCUGACUUACCGGCCACAACCAAGGUCAAAACCGGCUGCCUAUGUGUAUCCCAUCGAGUGCGUUUAUGAAAGACCCGCAGGAUGGGUUCCACCUUUCCUGAACCCUGGCGCAGGUGUUUCUGAAGGCCGAGGCAGUCUAGUGUUCCACAUGGCGCUGCUCAAUGAUCAAUUAACGCAUAUAUCAAAGACCAAUGUUUUCACCCUGGGCUCCUUCAUGCCAAUAUGGGCGGCAGUGGAGCAGAAGUCCCAUCAACCCUUGCUGCUGCUCAUGGAGGAAUGCGUGGCGACCACUACACCAGAGCUGCUGUCUGGUAGCCAGGUUUACCCCAUCAUAAGCAAUUAUGGGUGUCUUCUAGAUAGCAAGAGGGGAAACUCCAAGUUCCUCCCUCGCUACCAGUCGUCUGCUCUCACCCUUCUCCUGCAGGCCUUCCAGUUACGGUUUGGAAAUGAGGUGUACAUUCAUUGUAAACUGAUUGCAUGGGAUCCUGAAGUUCUUGAUGAUGGCAAGAAAGCCUGCCAUUACAAGAAGGAAAGUGAGAGCUGGGAACUACUCGAUGACUCCUCUAAGAGCUCUGUCUGUAGCUGCUGUGACUCAACCUGCAAGCCCCGCACCAAAAGAGGACUUGAAUGGAGUAUUACUUCUCUGCUAACAUGGAAAGUAACGGCUUUAGUCACCAUUCUGUGUUGGGACCCCUGAUCAUAGUGGAUCCGUCUGACUCGAAGGCCAACAACGUGUCUGUUCCUGCAGCUUACUCUCAGGAGGCCCAGUCUAAGCUGACGGAGACUCCAUGAUCGUGCUCGACUGAAGCAGAUGACCUCAGCCUCCUAACUAACGUGACAUCAGCCUUACAUGAUCUCAACUUGAACUGUUUGCAGAUUGUUGGAAUUGUCAAAUGUUGUACAUCCAUCUUAAAGUCUGUAUACAAAUAAACCAAGUGUAAACUCCUCA